GAGGGUGAAAAGAACCUGAAACCGUUACGGGGGAAGCGAAUUGCGUCGAAUUGAUUUUAUGGGGGGUGCACUGUUCAGCGCGUUUUGCGUGUACUCAGGGCAUUUUUCCUUACCCGUCGUGGGUUUUUGGAUGGUCGAAUUUGGGCCGUCUAGGACUGAGGGAUCCUCUUUGUUUAUAAGGGUGAGGACGAUGGGGCGCUGACGCGAUACGACCCGUCUUGAAACACGGACCAAGGAGUUCAGCAUAUGUGCGAGUCAAAGGGUGGUGAAACCUGAGGGCGCAGUGAAAGCGAUUUAACACGGAUCGUGUAAGAACUAAAACAUAUCAUUUUCAGUUUUAAGGCGGCAUACAAUGGGUGAUUGUAGGACCGACCUCGAGCAGAUAUGCUGAGACCCGAAAGAUGGUGAACUAUGCCGGAGUAGGGCGAAGCCAGAGGAAACUCUGGUGGAGGCUCGUAGCGGUGCUGACGUGCAAAUCGCUCGUCUGACUUGGGUAUAGGGGCGAAAGACUAAUCGAACCAUCUAGUAGCUGGUUUCCUCCGAAGUUUCUC
This 551-nucleotide ribosomal RNA is filed under the name Acrosorium ciliolatum. Its description in RNAcentral is "eukaryotic LSU rRNA". It matches the Rfam family "Eukaryotic large subunit ribosomal RNA", at positions 383 to 972 of the family's 3401-position model. The record is from RNAcentral. Lineage: Eukaryota; Rhodophyta; Florideophyceae; Ceramiales; Delesseriaceae.